RNAcentral lists this non-coding RNA (85 nucleotides) under Clostridium arbusti SL206. RNAcentral's name for it is "Clostridium sp. SL206 skipping-rope RNA". It matches the Rfam family "skipping-rope RNA". From Rfam's summary of the family: Firmicutes, Fusobacteria, AlphaProteobacteria, Spirochaetes. Downstream gene Lineage: Bacteria; Bacillati; Bacillota; Clostridia; Eubacteriales; Clostridiaceae. The record is from Rfam by way of RNAcentral.
AUUAUUGAAGGGCAGAACGGGCAGCUGCCACGCCUUAGAAAUAAGGUCUUUCAAGAGAUGUAGGGUUGCCAACCUACUCAGUAAU